GACGAACGCUGGCGGCGUGGAUUAGGCAUGCAAGUCGAACGGUAUCAUCCUUUCGGGGGUGAGAGAGUGGCGAACUGGUGAGUAACACGUAGGUUAUCUACCCUCAAGACGGGGACAACCCAGGGAAACUUGGGCUAAUACCGGAUGUGAGCAACUUUUAGUUGUUUGAAAGGUGGCGUAAGCUGUCGCUUGGGGAUGAGCCUGCGUCCUAUUAGUUAGUUGGUGAGGUAACGGCUCACCUAGGCAAUGAUAGGUAGGCGGCCUUAACGAGUGGUCGCCCACACUGGGAUUGAGAUACGGCCCAGACUCCUACGGGAGGCAGCAGUCGAGAAUAGUCUACAAUGGUCGGAAGACUGAUAGUGCGACGCCGCGUGAACGAUGAAUCCCUUCGGGGUGUAAAGUUCUUUUAUAUGUGAGCAGUGCUUCUUAUAUUAACAGUAUGGGGAGAGAGAUAUUAGCAUAUGAAUAAGCAACGGCUAACUCCGUGCCAGCAGCCGCGGUAA
Molecule: ribosomal RNA, 503 nt
Filed under: uncultured bacterium
Lineage: Bacteria
Description: bacterial SSU rRNA
Rfam family: Bacterial small subunit ribosomal RNA
Source: RNAcentral